This 401-nucleotide long non-coding RNA is filed under the name Ixodes scapularis (black-legged tick). RNAcentral's name for it is "uncharacterized LOC121834387". The record is from RNAcentral. Lineage: Eukaryota; Metazoa; Arthropoda; Arachnida; Ixodida; Ixodidae.
UCGCGUAGUUGCCAGUGUCCAGCUCCUUCUUUGUUCUUUGUUCCGAAAUCGGUCUUCUUCUUCUUCGGACCCCGAACGUCGCCUCACGCUUCCUGCCUUCGUCAAAGGGCCUCCUUUCGUUCGACACAUUGGGCGCAAGAGCGAGUUGCACGGCUGGCCCUCCGUUUCAAGUGACCUCCUUCAGCUGCGGAUGACCUGUGCUUAAUCAAGACCGCUUGAAUGGCAACUGAGAACUUGCUCCAAGCAAAAAGUGUUUUUAUGAAAUCGUGUUAGCUCGUGCGAAUUCACUGAAUAGGAACAAGUGUGUUUUCAUCGAGACAGCUCUCGUCCGGAAACUUGCAUUGUCGGCCUAAUAAAGUUUGACGUCAAGCCUAAUAAAACGUGAGGUUAAAACGGAGAAA